Molecule: long non-coding RNA, 2220 nt
Organism: Brachypodium distachyon (stiff brome)
Lineage: Eukaryota; Viridiplantae; Streptophyta; Magnoliopsida; Poales; Poaceae
Exons: 4
Source: RefSeq, a predicted model, not a curated record
GCUUCGUGUUCCCUUUCGUCUCGAGGGGAUGGGCAGGAAGUUGGGUUGUGUGAUACUGACAGGUUGGGUCAAACUGGGCUGCUUAGUGGGGCCCUGGAAGAACAUCUUAUAUGGGCCGGCUCGUGCAAUGAGAAAAUGGGCUUACUUGUGGCCGGUGGCUUCUCGAACGGUGAGGACAAUGGAGGGGCCAUGGGGGGAGCGACUGCGGCGGAGCCGGAGGUGGCGGCGGCGGAAUACUCAGCCGCCCGGCCGCUCCGCAUUACAUCCGGCGAACCGAAGUACUGGGUAUUUCGAGGGAUGCAGAAGGGAACAUCCGCAAGACCGAACCUGGAGGUGACGACCUGCAUCCCCUUUUCUAUUGAGUAGCGAUUCUUGCACAUGUAAUAAAAAAUAUCAGAAAAUAGUUUAUCUCCCGUCUGUAGUUCAAAGAUCACAGACUAGUCUCUUCUCUUCUUCGGAGUUGGUAGUAGCUUUUUUGGUAGGUCUUGCCAUUGAGUGAGUUUGCGGGACAGCGGGAGACUUCGUCGGAGUCUUGGCAGGGGACAUAGCAGUUUUGACUCCUUGUGAUCGGUCCAGGACUAGAGGGAGCUAUACUUUGCGCUGGGUAAUUGACCCACGGCAACCAAACUCAACUAGUACAACAUUUACUAGGAUUUUCCCUGGUACCAGUACUGAACGAAGCAAGAGUUAUUGCAGGCAUAGUGCUCAUCCAGUGCAUGAUCUGGAGUUCAAGACAGUAAGGAUGCCGCACACUUUACGCUGCGAUGAGCUAUCUGUCCACCACAAUAUCGGGGGAGGAUUUGUUGUGAAUAAGGUGGUCAUGAGACUACUGCCGAGAAGAUCGGCAUUAGAAGAGAUGAAGUGAUAGAUCUGAUGGCAUCAAACCUUUGUACAACUUUACCUGAGGUACCUAAGUCAAAAAAAACUUAACCUGACGUACAAAUCUUUUAGCUUUGUAGGAUCAGUUAGUUUAGAUAUACUUGUAGUGCAGCUUGAAGACGGAUAGACCAGCUUCUUGAUCUUAGUUGGCAGUUUCUGGAAAAGAAACUUGAUCCGACUGUUGUCUCGAGGUAUGUGUAAGUUGUAUGCAACAACAGGAUUUAUAGUUUGCAAUUUUAUGAUUAAAAGUAAUCUUCACUUUGUUUACGAGUGCUUUGAUUUGUUCCUCGUAGAUUCAAGUCCACGAUCUCCAUGCAAGAAGAAGCGUGCUUGCCAUUUUGGCGAUGACAUUCAAUGUGGCUCAAUACAACUGAAAGGAGUUCAUGCAAGGGAAUUCACCAGAAGGGGUGGUCGAAUUCGGUCUUGCUAUUCCACCACCAUCUCCUAAAAAUUAUGAACACAAUUAAGGCAAGUUAGUCAGACAAGUGAAUGCCCAACCGUCUAAGCAUAAACAAAUUCAUUUCUUAAGUAUAACUAAUAAGCAUAUUGCAAUGUAUGUGGAUCAAUUGUGCAUGUGGUUCGAAAGUCACGAGAGACAAUUCUGUUGCAAGGAUAAUUCAAGGUACUUCACCAGAAGGGACGGGCGAAUUUGCUCCAGGCAAUGGUCUUGCUAUUCCACCCCCGUCUCCUAAAAGUAUAGACAAUGUUAGUCAAUUGUGUUGGGUAUGUUUGUGUAAAAUAAAAGUAACAUGAUAUCUUACCUAGUUUUUCUUUGACGCGAAUAUGAAAGUGUGUGUAGUUAAGAGAUUCGAUACGUUUAUUUUGAUGAUUAAUAUUAUGCACUCACCAGAAGGGACCGGCGAAUUCACUGGUCUCGCUAUUCCACCGCCAUCUCCUGAUUAACAGAUAGUGUAGACAGUUCACCAGAAGGGAUGGACGAGUUCACUCCCGGCAGCGGUCUUGCUAUUCCACCGCCAUCUCCUGGAAAAUUGUAGAGACAUGUUAGCCAAGACAACCAUUGAUUAAUGCCGUUAUAAGAAGCAUAUCGAUGUUUCUUUUGUAGGGAUUAGUGGUUAAUUAAGGUACUUCACCAGAAGGGAUGGGCGAGCGGGACGUCGUGGUUGAACGGAGGGAGGAGCUGCCGAGGCGAGGAGCAAGAAGCAGCAGCAGCAGCAGCAGGCACAAGUGCACAGAGGGAUUAAUGGCUGAAGCUGACGCCAUUGCUUAAUUUGCUUGUAUUAUGCCACACACGGUACAUCGUACAGAUAUUUAUACAUGGUUCCCUAGUUAGCUAGCAUGGACUUUUCUGAUUUGAGAAAAUGAUGCAUUGGGCAUAUUCGA